RNAcentral lists this ribosomal RNA (459 nucleotides) under uncultured bacterium. RNAcentral describes it as "partial 16S ribosomal RNA". It matches the Rfam family "Bacterial small subunit ribosomal RNA", at positions 338 to 795 of the family's 1533-position model. The record is from RNAcentral.
CCUACGGGGGGCAGCAGUGAGGAAUCUUGGUCAAUGGUCGGGAGACUGAACCAGCCAAGCCGCGUGAGGGAGGAAGGUACAGAGUAUCGUAAACCUCUUUUGUCAGGGAACAAAGGCGGGGGCGUGUCCCCGGAUGCGUGUACCUGAAGAAAAAGAAUCGGCUAACUCCGUUCCAGCAGCCGCGGUAAUCCGGGGGAUGCGAGCGUUAUCCGGAUUUAUUGGGUUUAAAGGGUGCGCAGGCGGUCUGUUAAGUCAGCGGGCAAAGCCCGGGGUUCAACUCCGGCCCGCCGUUGAAACUGGCAGUCUCGAGUUGGAGAGAAGUAUGCGGAAUGCGCGGUGUAGCGGUGAAAUGCAUAGAUAUCGCGCAGAACUCCGAUUGCGAAGGCAGCAUGCCGGCUCCACACUGACGCUGAGGCACGAAAGCGUGGGUAUCGAACAGGAUUAGAUACCCUUGUAGUC